AGAACGACCUUCCAGGCCUCUGGGAUGGGCGUGUCCCCAGAAUCUGCUCCGUUCAGCUUCAUCCAGGCCUUUGCCUCUGAAGGUGCUCACAGAUGACGACCAAGUGGCUGGGGCAGGCACCCAUGUGGGGACGGGAUGCCGCACCCAUGGACUCCAGGGGCCAGGAAGAGGAUCCUUCAGCGACCUGCCCGGGAGCCUGGAAGCUUCCACAGGGCAGGAGGGUGCGUUCUGCAAACUGUACCGUGCAACCCUGAGGGCGGCUGCUGCCCGGCUCCCUGCAGGCCCCGAGGCUCCCGUCUCCAUCCACAUCUUCCUGGCUUCCCUCCCACAGGCUCAAGGGCAAGAGCGUGCACCGUGCGGACACCAUGUCCACCCACUGGCCGUGGAUGCUCCGGUGUCUGGGGAGUGUCUCGGGUGCCCCAGGAGCCAUCCCUCUCCAGUUUUCUCUGCAAAGGUUCAUGAUGAUGUUGUGGCUGAGUUUAGAAAGAGACUUUCUUUUAUCUGCCCAAAAUGCUUGGACGUUUUCUGUCCCCUUCAUUUCACUCCUGGAAAAGACAAAGCUCAGGACAAUCUGUGGGUGUCUCUCUUCUUCUGAAGCCAAGAGCCACUUUUGGGUUUUUUUGUUUGUUUGGAUGGAGUUUCGUUUUGUCGCCCAGGCUGGAGUGCAAUGGCGUGAUCUUGGCUCACUGCAACCUCUGCCUCCUGGGUUCAAGCGAUUCUCCUGCCUCAGCUUCCUGAGUAGCUGGGAUUACAGGCACGUGAGACCACGCCCGGCUAAUUUUUAUAUUUGUUUGUAGAGAUGGGGUCUCCUUAUGUUUCCCAGGCUGGUCUAGAACUUCUGGGCUCAAGCAAUCUGCCCGCCUCGGCGUCCUAAAGUGCUAGGAUUAUAGGUGUGAGCCAUCACGCCAGGUCAAGAGCCACUUUCUAAAGUAACCUUUGGACAUGCUACCCCCCUACCCAGGCCCUGGGUCCCCUCCCAGCUCCUGGGGCUGCUCCACCUUACAGGGCUCUCCCGAGGAGGCCUGACCCGCCCACCCCACUCUCUGCAUGGAUGGGCAGAGGCUCUCUCUCUGCCCACUCUGGGCCUUGCUGACACCUGGGCCUUGCCUCCAUGUCCCAGGUGAGCCUGGCCUCUCUCUGGCUUUCAGAGUCACACACUAGCAGGUCCCAAGCUAGCGGCACAGAGCUCUUCCUUCUGCCUCAACGCCACCCACCCUUCUCAGCAGAAGACCCAGCACAUCCUGCCUCCGCUCCUUCUACCAGGCUCCAGAGAGAGCUGCCCCGUGAUCCACGCACACACCCGUGCCCAGGGGUCCACACCGCCAAGCGACAGCACACUGGGCGCAGUGUCUGCUUGCUCUGCCUCCUGCCUCAGGACCUGGGUCCCCCAGACACCCAACUGCUCCCUCCCGGAGGCUCGGAAGCCAGCAAAGGAAGGGAUAACCAUCAUUUAUUCAUCCAUCCAUCCGUCCAUCCAUCCAUCCAUCCAUCCAUCCAUCCAUUUAUCCAUCCAUCCAUCCAUCCAUCCACCCACCCACCCAUUCACCCAUCUGUCCAUCCAUCCAUCCAUCCAUCCAUCCAUCCACCCACCCACCCAUUCACCCAUCUGUCCAUCCAUCCAUCCAUCCAUCCAUCCAUCCAUCCAUCCAUCCCACCCCACCCAUUCACCCAUCUUCCAUCCCAUCCAUCCAUCCCAUCCCAUCCAUCCAUCCAUCCACCCACCCACCCAUUCACCCAUCUGUCCAUCCAUCCAUCCAUCCAUCCAUCCAUCCAUCCACCCACCCACCCAUCACCCAUCUGUCCAUCCAUCCACCCAUCCAUCCAUCCACCCAUCCAUCCAUCCAUCCAUCCACCCCACCCACCCACUCAACCAUCCAUCCAUCCAUCUUUCCAUCCAUCUGUGUAUAUUUAUGUAUUUUAAGGAAUUUCCUCAUGCAAUUGUGGAGUCUGAAAUCUGCAAGGCAGGUGGCAGCCUGGAGACCUAAGUAGAGCUGCAGUUGGAGUCCCAGGGCCUCUGCUAGCAGAAUUCCUUCUUGCUUGGGGAGGUCCAUCUUGGUUUUCUUAAGACCUUCAACUGAUUGAAUGAGGCCCACCUGCAUUUUGGAGAGCCACCUGCUUCCCCAAAGUCCACUGAUUGAAAUGUUAGUCUCAGCCAGAAAGCACCCUCCCAGAAACAUAAGAACCAGAAUUAGUGCUUGACCAAAUAUCUGGGCACCGUGGCCCAGCCAAGUUGACACAAUUACCCAUCACAAUGCUGGUGCCAGGGAAGGGAAGGAAAAGCUCUUCCCUGUGAGCUGGUGACCUGGGGUCCUGGGCUGGGAUAGCUCAACAGGAAGUAAAUGUCCUUCUCCAGAGACAGCCCUUCUGUGUCUACAGAUGUCCUGAUGUAACAUGUCUUUUAAAAUGAGGGUUUGUUCAUGAAAUUUUUUUCUUAACCAAUGAAAUGGAUUAAAUAG
Molecule: long non-coding RNA, 2456 nt
Filed under: Pongo abelii (Sumatran orangutan)
Lineage: Eukaryota; Metazoa; Chordata; Mammalia; Primates; Hominidae
Description: lincRNA
Source: RNAcentral